AUUUACAACCCCAAGGACUGUCGCCUGCCAGGCUCCUCAGUCCAUGGGCUUCUCCAGGCAAGAACACUGGAGUGGGUUGCCGUUUUCUCCUCCAGGGAAUCUUCCUGACCCUGGGACUGAACCUGCAUCUCCUGUGGCUCCUGCAUUGCAGGAAGAGUUCCCAUGUACAGGAACAGACUGACCGUCCCCAUGUAAUCCACAUUUCAAUACUGCAUCUUGUCAGCACAAAGGAAUGAAUCCCUAAUGGGGAUCUUCCCAACUCAGGGAUCAAACCCAUGUCUCUUGUGUCUCCUGCAUUGGCAGUCAUUGAGCCGCCAGGGAAGCCUACGUGUAUGGUUCUUCUGUCCAUGGAAUUCUCCAAGCAAGAAUACUGGAGUGGGUUGCCAUGCCCUCCUCCAGGAAUCUUUCCAACCCAGAGAUCAAACCUGUGUCUCCUGGAGCUCCUGCAUUGUCAGGUUAUUACAAGAUACUGAAUAGUGCUCCUUCUGCUAUAAAGCCCUGAAACAAUUUGCUUAAAGUGAUAGUUACCUCUAAUGAAAAGAUACAUAACGGAAAAUGUCAGCAACCUUUUAAAUCCUCCACAACUUAUCAUGAAGACCGUCUUGUGCAAAGUGCUCGUGGUGAAGCAACUUCUUUUGUCUCCGAUUCCUCCUAAAUUAGGUGGAUUCUUUACCAGCUGACCUACCAUGGAGAGAAAUUGCAGCUUGCCCUCCGUCUCCUAUUGCUGAUGAUCCUUCAGUUCUACCAUCUCCCGGUUCCUGUCCCUCCUCUAGUCUGUAACUCUUCUUGCCUGUUCAGCCCCUUAUUACCAGCAGUUGUACUGUACUACUGUACUUUUCAGGGUACUGUACGAUUAAAAUGUUUUAAUUUUUUGUUCAUUUUAAUGUAUUAUUUGCAUGAAAAGCAUUGUACACCUAUUACAGAACAGUACUAUAUAGCCACUUGUGUUAGUUGGGAACCCAGGCUAAGUUUGUUGGACUUAAUGAUCAAACCAGACUCACUAACCCUCUCUCUGAAUGGAACUCUUUCAUAUGUAGGGGACUCACUGUAUUUGCAAAGAUAUGGGCAGG
Molecule: long non-coding RNA, 1070 nt
Organism: Bos taurus (domestic cattle)
Lineage: Eukaryota; Metazoa; Chordata; Mammalia; Artiodactyla; Bovidae
Source: Ensembl